Molecule: long non-coding RNA, 686 nt
Filed under: Helianthus annuus (common sunflower)
Lineage: Eukaryota; Viridiplantae; Streptophyta; Magnoliopsida; Asterales; Asteraceae
Description: sRNA HanXRQr2_Chr02g0076241
Source: RNAcentral
AUGAUAAUAAGAAGUGAAAGAUACCCAAAAAGGCUGUUUAAAAAUAUCAUCUGUGAAAAUGUGUGUUCAGAUACAUGUAAGCAAAAUAUACCUGCAUGAAGCAUCACGGCAUCUAUAAGCUGAACCACCGAAUAUGUGAUAAGGAACAGAAAAGAACUCGUUGUAUAUUAGACCACAGUAGAUUGAAAACAGUGACAUCAGCAGAAGUACGUAUCGGCCACCGAAUAACAUCUCCAUAAAGCUCCCAAGUUUCUGUCGGAAACAAAGAGACCGAGAUUGAGAACGAAUCACACAAAGUAAUGACAACAAGUUAACUGUUUCAAAGAGUUUAAAAAUUCGACAAAUCAAGGUCAACAAGUAAAACACUUUUCAAAGUGUUAAUCUUUCCAUAAAGCUCCCAAGUUUCUGCCAGAAACGUGUGUUGGUGUCUGAUAUACGCCAAAUUAUACAUGUUUUAGUCCCCCAUUUUACUCCCGUUUAACGCGUUUUUGGCUAAAACUUCUUUGUUUAGGUACUUAAUCAAGUACUUUUGGAUUUUCAGGUCUUAAACGGCGUACCAAAGACAAAGUUGGAGAAAAAAGAGGAAUUUCCGGGCAUUUCGGAUGAAAUCUGCACAUUUUAUCAUGCACGGCCGUGCACUCCAUCUGCACGACCGUGCAAGGCGCUCGACACCGGAAGCACUGGCG